AUUGAACGCUGGCGGCAGGCCUAACGCAUGCAAGUCGAACGGUAGCACAGAGAGCUUGCUCUCGGGUGACGAGUGGCGGACGGGUGAGUAAUGUCUGGGAAACUGCCCGAUGGAGGGGGACAACUACUGGAAACGGUAGCUAAUACCGCAUAACGUCGCAAGACCAAAGAGGGGGACCUUCGGGCCUCUUGCCAUCGGAUGUGCCCAGAUGGGAUUAGCUUGUUGGUGGGGUAACGGCUCACCAAGGCGACGAUCCCUAGCUGGUCUGAGAGGAUGACCAGCCACACUGGAACUGAGACACGGUCCAGACUCCUACGGGAGGCAGCAGUGGGGAAUAUUGCACAAUGGGCGCAAGCCUGAUGCAGCCAUGCCGCGUGUAUGAAGAAGGCCUUCGGGUUGUAAAGUACUUUCAGCGAGGAGGAAGGCGUUGCGGUUAAUAACCGCAGCGAUUGACGUUACUCGCAGAAGAAGCACCGGCUAACUCCGUGCCAGCCGCCGCAGUAA
Molecule: ribosomal RNA, 504 nt
Filed under: uncultured bacterium
Lineage: Bacteria
Description: partial 16S ribosomal RNA
Rfam family: Bacterial small subunit ribosomal RNA
Source: RNAcentral